Molecule: ribosomal RNA, 497 nt
Filed under: Varicosporium sp. CJL-2014
Lineage: Eukaryota; Fungi; Ascomycota; Leotiomycetes; Helotiales; Discinellaceae
Description: eukaryotic LSU rRNA
Rfam family: 5.8S ribosomal RNA (bases 133-286)
Source: RNAcentral
CUCCCACCCUUGAAUAUUAUACCUUCGUUGCUUUGGCAGGCCGUGGAAACACCAGAGGCUCCGGCUGAUGCGUGCCUGCCAGAGGAAACAAACUCUGUUUUUAGUGAUGUCUGAGUACUAUAUAAUAGUUAAAACUUUCAACAACGGAUCUCUUGGUUCUGGCAUCGAUGAAGAACGCAGCGAAAUGCGAUAAGUAAUGUGAAUUGCAGAAUUCAGUGAAUCAUCGAAUCUUUGAACGCACAUUGCGCCCCGUGGUAUUCCGCGGGGCAUGCCUGUUCGAGCGUCAUUUCAACCCAUCAAGCUUCGGCUUGGUCUUGGGGCCUGCGGUUUCGCAGCCUCUAAACCCAGUGGCGGUGCUAUUGAGCUCUGAGCGUAGUAAUUUCUCUCGCUAUAGAGUCUCGGUGGUGACUUGCCAACAACCCCCAAUUUUUAUCAGGUUGACCUCGGAUCAGGUAGGGAUACCCGCUGAACUUAAGCAUAUCAAUAAGACGGAGGAA